RNAcentral lists this ribosomal RNA (87 nucleotides) under Trypanosoma vegrandis. Its description in RNAcentral is "partial small subunit ribosomal RNA". It matches the Rfam family "Eukaryotic small subunit ribosomal RNA", at positions 507 to 590 of the family's 1831-position model. The record is from RNAcentral. Lineage: Eukaryota; Euglenozoa; Kinetoplastea; Trypanosomatida; Trypanosomatidae.
GUUUUCAAUGGGGGAUAUUUAAANCCAUCCAAAAUCGAGUAUCAAUUGGAGGACAAGUCUGGUGCCAGCACCCGCGGUAAUCCAGCU